This 276-nucleotide long non-coding RNA is filed under the name Mytilus galloprovincialis (Mediterranean mussel). Lineage: Eukaryota; Metazoa; Mollusca; Bivalvia; Mytilida; Mytilidae. The record is from RNAcentral.
CUGUUUAUCUUUGUCAAAUGUCAUUUUUGGAAAAUGACGCAGUCAUUGUUCCAUAACUGCCGACCUGAACUUCAUUACAUUUCUCUGCCUACCGCGCUUGGUUUCGUAUUUCCUAUUUUCCAUACAAACUGGAAUCUGCUUGUGUUAUCAUUAUGCAUCAUUGUGUAGUAUUAAAUCAGCCAGGACCCAGUUUACACUGGUUUUUGCUUGUAUUCCACUACACUCGAACAAAGUGUUGUAGUUUGACGGGAACCAGUUUUAUAAUUUGUAAACUAC